UGCCAGCAGCCGCGGUAAUACGUAAGUCGCAAGCGUUAUCCGGAAUCACUGGGCUUAAAGGGCGUGUAGGCGGCGAUUUAAGUCGGAUGUGAAAUCUCUCGGCCUAACCGGGAAACUGCAUCCGAAACUGGAUUGCUAGAGUGCGGGAGGGGCAAGUGGAACUCCAGGUGUAGCGGUGAAAUGCGUAGAUAUCUGGAGGAACGCCGGUGGCGAAAGCGACUUGCUGGACCGCAACUGACGCUGAGGCGCGAAAGCUAGGGGAGCGAACGGGAUUAGAUA
This 279-nucleotide ribosomal RNA is filed under the name uncultured bacterium. RNAcentral's name for it is "partial 16S ribosomal RNA". It matches the Rfam family "Bacterial small subunit ribosomal RNA", at positions 506 to 784 of the family's 1533-position model. The record is from RNAcentral.